UAGGGAAUCUUCCGCAAUGGACGCAAGUCUGACGGAGCAACGCCGCGUGAGUGAAGAAGGAUUUCGGUUCGUAAAACUCUGUUGUUAGAGAAGAACAGCGCAUAGAGUAACUGUUAUGCGUGUGACGGUAUCUAACCAGAAAGCCACGGCUAACUACGUGCCAGCAGCCGCGGUAAUACGUAGGUGGCAAGCGUUGUCCGGAUUUAUUGGGCGUAAAGCGAGCGCAGGCGGUCAAUUAAGUCUGAUGUGAAAGCCCCCGGCUCAACCGGGGAGGGUCAUUGGAAACUGGUUGACUUGAGUGCAGAAGAGGAGAGUGGAAUUCCAUGGGUAGCGGUGAAAUGCGUAGAUAUAUGGAGGAACACCAGUGGCGAAGGCGACUCUCUGGUCUGUAACUGACGCUGAGGCUCGAAAGCGUGGGGAGCGAACAGG
RNAcentral lists this ribosomal RNA (429 nucleotides) under Bacteroidota bacterium. Its description in RNAcentral is "Bacteroidetes bacterium partial 16S ribosomal RNA". It matches the Rfam family "Bacterial small subunit ribosomal RNA", at positions 355 to 776 of the family's 1533-position model. The record is from RNAcentral. Lineage: Bacteria; Pseudomonadati; Bacteroidota.